GAGCCCUCUCUGACAUUCCUCCCCUGCAUGUAGAUAAAGAGAGCCAUUUAUGCUUUAUAUUUAUAGUCACUCACCUGUAGAACAUUUUCCAUAAGUCAUAUAGUAAAUAGUCUCUGAUUUCUUUUAUAGUGUCUCAUUUGGAAAUGCGGCAGGGUUCUAGGAAACAUAAAGCACAAAAGACCACCUUUUUAUAUUUUGUAAUACUGCCUUCAACCAUGGCUCCAUGGCCCCACCACCUUACACACUGUAAACAUACAAGUUAAACCUGGGCAGUGGCCAUGGCUGUCAAUGCAUUCUGAUUUUUAAAAAUGGAAUGCUUGUACCUGAAUUGAUGGCAUUUUUUUCUUAAAUU
RNAcentral lists this long non-coding RNA (352 nucleotides) under Marmota monax (woodchuck). The record is from RNAcentral. Lineage: Eukaryota; Metazoa; Chordata; Mammalia; Rodentia; Sciuridae.